Delphinapterus leucas (beluga whale) is the source of this 2142-nucleotide long non-coding RNA. RefSeq lists it as uncharacterized. The record is from RefSeq and is a predicted model, not a curated record. NCBI's taxonomy places the organism in Eukaryota, Metazoa, Chordata, Mammalia, Artiodactyla, Monodontidae.
UGAGUUUUCUACCUCAUCAACCUUCGUUAUCAUCUUGUUCGCUGACUGCCUUUUCCCUAAUCAGGUGGUGGUGAAAUUUUUACAGUGAAAAUGAAGACACUGUGUAUUCGUGGUUCUUUUCAUGCAGACAUCUACGUCUGACCCUGGAACAACGUGGAUCUACCGAUACGAGGAUGUUUUCCAAUAGUAAAUAAUACUACAGUAUUCCAUGAUCUGCUGCUGGUUGAAUUCUCGGAUACAGAGGAACCAACUAUAAGUUACAGGGGGUUUUUCGACCGUGUGAGGGUUGGAGCCCCUAAUCCCCGCGUUGUCUAAGGGUCAAGUGUAUUUAUACUCAUAAGCAAAGGCUUGGACCGGCAGCUCACACAGACCACCCCCUACCCUUACAUGGGCUCAUCUCCUCGGUGGGUGCACCACAAGGCUAACAUGGGCCCACAGAAUCCUGCGGCUUCCCUCGGGCCUGGGUGUGGUGGGCAGGCAGGGUUGGCCUAAAAGUAUAUAUUGCCUUCUAUGUUUUUCCCUAGGAAAAGCCUCAAAUUAACCACAACAGCUGCAUUUUCAGAAAGUCAUUAUUGAGGUAGAGAUAGCUAGCUGUUCCCCCUCCUCUACUUCCUCUUCUUUUUCUUUUGUUACAAAACCCCAAAUUAUAGCUGGGCACAUAACCACCCAGAAUAAAGGAGCCAUUUCCCAGCCUCUCAUCCACCACGUACGGCCUUGUGAAUAAGCCUAGCCAGUGGGAUGUGAGUAGCCUUGAUGCAUGCAGCUUUCAGGUGUCACCCUCAAGUGGAAGGGGUGCGACCCUCCCCCUUCACCUUCCCACGAGUGGGAAUGACCCACGCAUGACUGGAGGCGGCGUGCCAUCUUGGACAAUGAGAUCAACACGUCAGCAAUGGGUGCAUCACAUACAAGGAGGGCUACGAUCCUUCUUUCCACACAGUGGGUAGAGUUCACCGGCGCUGCCUGGCCCCCUUUCCUGCACUUCACCAUGUAAAUGAGAUGGGAAAACUGAAGCCCAGAAUAUUUAAGUGACUUGUUCAAAUUAGUAGCUGAGCUGGACAUGAACCCAGACUGCAGGCCUCCAGAGGCCACCUCUGCCCUGACCUGGGUGUUACAGAAGAUGUGGGUGUUACAAAAGAUGUGGAGAUGAUUAAGAUUUUAAUGUGGUCCUUCAAGAUAACGAACGUGGGAGAAAUAAAUAUACAUAUACACACAAUUCCGCAUAACACAGGACAGAGCAUUCAAAGCACCGUAACACGAGUAAAAUGUAUUCUCUCGGUACAGAGGCAAGAGUAUGAAGCCCGUUUCAGGGGCUGCAGAAGUGUGUGGCCCACUGGAGUGGCUCCUGUCCCAGAGGAUGUAGCAGGCCCCAUAUGAAGGGGCUCCCACGCUCACUACCUACCAGUCUUGCUUCUCCAGCUUGGUCCCCAAUCCAGCUCCUCUGUCUUGCAAUCUCAAUUUCCCUCUGGGAAAAAACUUCCUGUCCUUGGCUCAGGACAUCCUCAGACAGCCUUUAGGCUGUGCCUCCCAAGUCUCAACCUUAUUUAAUAGUAGGUCAGAGAGCCACAGUCUAGGCCCAGUUGAGACAUUGGAAAGAAAAGGAUGCAGGCACAGAAAGGUGUUAAAAAGGCUACUGAAAUAUUUCAGGCAAUAGAUUCCGAAGGGCUAAAACAGGGCAGUGGGAAUUGCAAAAUGAGAACAGAUUUUAAAGAAAUGUUGGAGGAGUAUCUAUAGGAUUUCCUAACACACUGGAUGUGGGGAAUAAGGAAAACAGAGACGUCCGAGACUAGAGACUGACUGUAGUGUAGCUGUCUGGAGGAUGAGGUCACCAUUAACCAAGGCAGGUUAAAUCGGAAAAGAGCUAAAUACAGAAGUUUCUAUAGCACAAAUUUGGGGAAGACUAGAAAGUAUUAAUGACAUUCAUUGUGGACAUAAUUGUUUAGGAUGUCUGAGGCCUUACACAGCUCAAGCGCAUGGUAAGGGUGGAGGUGUGCUAGAGACGGUCUUCAGAGGGACAGGUGAAGAAGAUUAUUGGCUAAAAACGCGUGGGGGGCUUCCCUGGUGGCGCAGUGGUUGAGAGUCCGCCUGCCGAUGCAGGGGACACAGGUUCGUGCCCCGGUCCAGGAGGAUCCCACAUGCUGCGGA